RNAcentral lists this ribosomal RNA (53 nucleotides) under Staphylococcus epidermidis. Its description in RNAcentral is "partial 23S ribosomal RNA". Lineage: Bacteria; Bacillati; Bacillota; Bacilli; Caryophanales; Staphylococcaceae. The record is from RNAcentral.
GGAAUCGAACCGGUACGGUGAUCUCUCACCGCAGGAUUUUAAGUCCUGUGCGU